This 67-nucleotide transfer RNA is filed under the name Labidotermes celisi. RNAcentral describes it as "tRNA-Cys". The record is from RNAcentral. Lineage: Eukaryota; Metazoa; Arthropoda; Insecta; Blattodea; Termitidae.
GGUCUUGUAUUCACUUUGUGAUUACAGAAUGCAAUUCUGUAGGGGUAAGUUGUACUUAUCAAGGCCU